AGGAUAAACGCUGGCGGCGUGCCUAACACAUGCAAGUCGAACGUCCUACGCGCAAGCGUAGGGAGUGGCGGACGGGUGAGUAACACGUGGGCAAUCUACCUUUCGGUGAGGAAUACCGGCGAGAAAUCGCCGACAAGACCGCAUACGCUUCGAGAGAAGCAAAGUCGCAAGACGCCGGAGGAGGAGCCUGCGCCCGAUUAGCUAGUUGGUGAGGUAAGAGCUUACCAAGGCGACGAUCGGUAGCUGGUCUGAGAGGAUGAUCAGCCACACUGGGAUUGAGAACGGCCCAGACUCCUACGGGGGGCAGCAGUGAGGAAUUUUCGUCAAUGGGGGCAACCCUGAACGAGCAACGCCGCGUGCAGGAUGACGCUUUUCGGAGUGUAAACUGCUUUUCGUCGGGGAAGAGCAAGGGACGGUACCCGAGGAACUCACGCCCCGGACUAACUACGCGCCAGCAGCCGC
Molecule: ribosomal RNA, 462 nt
Filed under: uncultured bacterium
Lineage: Bacteria
Description: SSU rRNA
Rfam family: Bacterial small subunit ribosomal RNA
Source: RNAcentral